Non-coding RNA from Pelobates cultripes (western spadefoot toad), 217 nucleotides. The record is from the annotation of a GenBank genome assembly. Lineage: Eukaryota; Metazoa; Chordata; Amphibia; Anura; Pelobatidae.
CUUUAAUGUACAUUGGAUUUAUAUACUGACUAUUGCAUUGCAAAGCCUCAAAUUAUGAUCAAAAUGUGCAACAACAUGAUAUGGAAAUAUUGGUCUAGCUCUUGUACAAGCUAUGAUAACCUGCAUAACAUCAUAAUAUCAUGUUAUGAAAAUUGCUUCAUAUUUGCUCUCUUUCUUCUGUUUCUAGAAUGUCUUAUCUGGUCAUAUUAUAGUUAUC